RNAcentral lists this unclassified non-coding RNA (1140 nucleotides) under Bombus terrestris (buff-tailed bumblebee). RNAcentral describes it as "misc RNA ENSBTSG00005023894.1". The record is from RNAcentral. Lineage: Eukaryota; Metazoa; Arthropoda; Insecta; Hymenoptera; Apidae.
UCAAGGCACGUGCAAUCCGUUUUGUCAAAAUUGCAAGGACUUUCCAUACGCGUGUAGCAACGUGUCUUUGCCGAAGUUGCAUCUGCGAUGCUCUUGUAACCCUUCAUAGCGGUGGUCAUCUCGCAGUUCCGCCGUGGCUUUUGUAUGUGUAGCACGCGUUAUUUCUUGUUUCUUCCAAUAAAAUAUUUUUACAUAAUGCGCAAGAGGAGGAAGAUAUGUGAAUGGUACAAGAUGACGUGAUCGACGUGCGUGUGUGAAUAUGUGCGAAGGAUGAUGCUGAAGUGGCGGUUUUCCACCCAAGUUAUUAGUUGUGUAACUCCAGUUUCUGAUCUAUGGAAAGUAGUGAAACGUCUUCACGAAAUACAAUUUCAUUCGUUUUCCUCCCUUGCAUUGGCACGCUGUGAGUGGUGUCGACUUCCAAAUGAGUGCAAGAAGAAGAAGAAUUGUAAAGAAUCCGUAAGUGGCCCUAGAAGACGCAGUCAUCGUGUGAGGUGUUGUCGGCAGGAACGAAGAGUCGAAGUUGUUGAAGAAGUCGUGUGACAUUUGUAUUGUUUCUGGUUAUAUACAACGCUAUUUCACAUAUCUAUGUAUAUAUAUAUAUAUUAUUAUAUUAUUAUAUAUUAUUAUAUUAAAUCUUCAGUUGGUUUAGUUGAAUGUUCAGUAAUGUAAUUUUUACAAGGUGGUUUUGUAUAUUAGAUGAGUAGCUGUUCGAUAUAAUAAUAUGUGUAUAUAUAUGUUGGAGAUGAAAGAACGCCGGAGCUCCUCCUUGGAUUCGCGGGAAUAUCGCAACUCUGUAACUUGGAUUAAACAAAUGCCGCUCCGAUUGUUCGAGAUUUAUGAUCAUGAGCUUGGGCUCGAGGCGACAAUCAGUCGCCGAACGUAGCCGCGGUCAAAGGGAUGAACGUUCUAUCUAACAAAGGCACAGAGUAACUCUAUACCUCUCCUUAAAAGAAAUAGUCGUAGCGACACGUGGCAGUAAAUACUUCAAUAGUUUCUAUCCCGCGGCCCGCCACACGCAGAUUUUGUCCUCCGGGUAAGAUGAUCGCCGGGUGUCGGCAUGCCUUUGUGGCGUAUGUUUAGCUAACGUGAGGACCCGCUAUAGAUCUUAAGAUUUAGUCAAGCGAAGUCCGUCAAAUAGAC